This 743-nucleotide ribosomal RNA is filed under the name uncultured bacterium. RNAcentral's name for it is "bacterial SSU rRNA". It matches the Rfam family "Bacterial small subunit ribosomal RNA", at positions 67 to 831 of the family's 1533-position model. The record is from RNAcentral.
CGGGAGAAUUGCUAGCUUGCUAAUAAUUCUCUAGUGGCGCACGGGUGAGUAACACGUGAGUAACCUGCCCCCAAGAGUGGGAUAGCCCCGGGAAACUGGGAUUAAUACCGCAUAAAAUCGCAAGAUUAAAGCAGCAAUGCGCUUGGGGAUGGGCUCGCGUCCUAUUAGUUAGUUGGUGAGGUAACGGCUCACCAAGGCGAUGACGGGUAGCCGGUCUGAGAGGAUGUCCGGCCACACUGGAACUGAGACACGGUCCAGACACCUACGGGUGGCAGCAGUCGAGAAUCAUUCACAAUGGGGGAAACCCUGAUGGUGCGACGCCGCGUGGGGGAAUGAAGGUCUUCGGAUUGUAAACCCCUGUCAUGUGGGAGCAAAUUAAAAAGAUAGUACCACAAGAGGAAGAGACGGCUAACUCUGUGCCAGCAGCCGCGGUAAUACAGAGGUCUCAAGCGUUGUUCGGAAUCACUGGGCGUAAAGCGUGCGUAGGCGGUUUCGUAAGUCGUGUGUGAAAGGCGGGGGCUCAACCCCCGGACUGCACAUGAUACUGCGAGACUAGAGUAAUGGAGGGGGAACCGGAAUUCUCGGUGUAGCAGUGAAAUGCGUAGAUAUCGAGAGGAACACUCGUGGCGAAGGCGGGUUCCUGGACAUUAACUGACGCUGAGGCACGAAGGCCAGGGGAGCGAAAGGGAUUAGAUACCCCUGUAGUCCUGGCAGUAAACGGUGCACGCUUGGUGUGCGGGGAA